Molecule: ribosomal RNA, 784 nt
Filed under: uncultured bacterium
Lineage: Bacteria
Description: bacterial SSU rRNA
Rfam family: Bacterial small subunit ribosomal RNA
Source: RNAcentral
AGAGUUUGAUCCUGGCUCAGAAUCAACGCUGGCGGCGUGCCUAACACAUGCAAGUCGAGCGAGAAAGGGGGGGCAACUCCCUGAGUACAGCGGCGCACGGGUGAGUAACACGUGGGUAAUCUGCCCUGGAGUGGGGAAUAACACCGGGAAACCGGUGCUAAUACCGCAUACGAUAGCGAGGUCUGCGGACUUUGUUAUGAAAGGAGCAAUUCGCUCUAGGAGGAGCCCGCGGCUGAUUAGCUAGUUGGUGAGGUAACGGCUCACCAAGGCUACGAUCAGUAUCCGGUCUGAGAGGACGGCCGGACACACUGGAACUGAGACACGGUCCAGACUCCUACGGGAGGCAGCAGUGGGGAAUUUUUGGCAAUGGGGGCAACCCUGACCAAGCAACGCCGCGUGGGUGAUGAAGUCUCUUGGGACGUAAAACCCUUUCGACGGGGACGAAAGCCGCAAGGCCUGACGGUACCCGUAGAAGAAGCCCCGGCUAACUCCGUGCCAGCAGCCGCGGUAAUACGGGGGGGGCAAGCGUUGUUCGGAAUUACUGGGCGUAAAGGGUGCGUAGGCGGUUCGCUAAGUUGGAUGUGAAAACUCUGGGCUCAACCCAGAGCCUGCAUCCAAAACUGGCGGGCUAGAGUUCUGGAGGGGGUAGCGGAAUUCCUGGUGUAGCGGUGAAAUGCGUAGAUAUCAGGAGGAACACCGGUGGCGAAGGCGGCUACCUGGACAGAAACUGACGCUGAGGCACGAAAGCUAGGGGAGCAAACAGGAUUAGAUACCCUAGUAGUCC